CAUUAUCUGUUGAAACCCCGCAAGGUUAGUUUGUUUGGUUUUCUUCGGUUGAUGCAAGGCAUUGCAAUUUAAAGCUCAUUCAUUCAAGUUCAAGGUCAUAUGCAAGUACAAGAUCAAAUUCAAACUCAAACUUUUGGAGGGAAGCUACCUUUCUUAAAACACAAGUUAUAUAACCCAUUCAAAGGUCAUUUUCAUUAUCAAAACAUGCAUUUCACAUUACAAGUCCAUACAAAAGUACAUCAUUUUGGCCUACUGUUAAAUUUUGGUCAACUAUUGACUUUUUUGUCAAACAAUUGACCAAAGUCAACUAACUAUCUUAAACCCUAAUUCUACUUUUUCCUUCAUUCAUAAUCCUUCCCAUGUUUGUUUAAAUGUCUUUUUGGGCCAUGACCUCUCCAUGUUCCAUGACAAUCUUUAUUCAUGCCUUCAUGACCAAAAUGUCAUGCCAAAACAUUAUUCCAUUCCAUGAUCCCACCAGCUCUGCAAAAUCGCAUACAAUGCACAAUUAAGAUUCAUGCCCAUACAUGGAUAAACAUAACCAUAUACACAAUCCUUAGCCAUGACAAGUAUAACUCAUGCAAGCAUAGCCAUGAUAGUUACACAUACAUAGAUCCAUAACCAAAAAACGCAUCAAACAAUACCAUAACAGUCCAAAUAACUCCAUAAACGAUCAAAAAGCCAUGUCAGUUCAAACAAUGGCAGCCUAACUCUCAAACUUCAAUAGUCAAGCUAAUUGUUUUUCAUUACAUCAAACUAUUUUCAAUUCAAACUUCAAAAUGCUAACAAUUCAUCCACAUAAACUAACUGCAAGUUCAAUUCAAUUAACAAUUUGACUAUUUCACAUUCCUAACUAAAAUUCAAAAGAGCAUUAAAACUUGAACCGACAUUCUAACCAAAUGUAUAAUUAAAAUCAUAACAUUAGCAUAAAAACCAACAUGAUUAGCUCAUUUUCUAUUAACAGCCUGCAAAUUCCUCUAACAGUUCAUGAUGUAACUAAUUCAAACUAUCAAAACUUCAAACAAAGUUCCCACUGUCAACACCAAUUAACUCAAAUAAACUAAUCUUAGCAUCUCAUUUACAAAUCCUUACUAACACAUUCACAAUUCACUAACAUAACUUCAACUCUUCACUGACACAAACUAACUUCUUCAUAACUUCAAAAUGUCAACCUAACAACCUCACUAACUUCAUUCAACUAAUUCAAUUCGAACUAACAUAACAACGCUCUUCAUAACUAACCUUAACAGAAAAUCAAAUCUAACACAACUAACACUCCAAUCAUCCUCUAACUUACUUUAACAGAAACAGUUUCACAAUGUUAACUCAAAACAACUUCCUUCAUUGAUCUUCAUUUGAAUCUAACUGUGCCAUAACUUGUAACAACCUGCCCCAUAGCUUUCCCGAAUCAGUUAACAAUCUCCUCUACAUAACCUUCACUCACCUUCAUUUCAUCAUCAACAAUCAUAUUCUGAAUCACUCUCAAUCUCCUUGAAGCACUAUGAGAUUUCUCUCUGAAGCUCUCUCUCUCUCUCUCUCUGUAUUUUCCCCCUCUACUUCAUCAUUAUCCUCUCAUGCGUAUGUAACAACAACAACACAGAGCAACAACAUCAACAAUAAUCGAUUUCUCCUACGAACUAAGAAUUCGAAAAAGGAGAAGAAGAUUACACCGAGUUCUAAUUACUGACCUUAUUUGAAGUUUCUCUAGUCUUCUUCGUCUCCACCAAGCUUUGCAUUCAACGAACUCCAAGGCCAUCUCUGCCUUGAAAGUAAGUGCUUCAGAUUUUCUUUGUUCGUUCUUUAAAUUCCGUCUUCACCAUGUAUUAUCAAUGAUUUUGAACUAAUUUUUUGUUUCGGUAGUUAGCGUUCAUCCUUUCUUCGCUUUGAUUUGGAAAAUCUGUGGGAGUUUAGGAUAAAAUAGGGUGAGAUUGAGAGAGACGAGGUUGUGAGGUUCGUUUUGAUGGUGGUGAUGGCCGUUUCGACUCAACUCCGCCGCCUCUGGCGCGACGGUGUACAACUUUGAUGAUGGAACUAAUUAAAGUGAGUGUGUGUGAGAGAGAGAUGAACAAAAAUAACAUGAAAAAUGUGAAAUAAGAUUUACUGAAUGAUCCCUCUUCCCUUUCAUUUCGUAUUGAGCCUCAAAACACAUUAGGCCCAUAUGUCUUG
This 2163-nucleotide long non-coding RNA is filed under the name Lathyrus oleraceus (garden pea). RNAcentral describes it as "Pisum sativum (pea) long non-coding RNA (PSAT_LNC030791)". The record is from RNAcentral. Lineage: Eukaryota; Viridiplantae; Streptophyta; Magnoliopsida; Fabales; Fabaceae.